GCGGCGUUCGUCUAGCCUGGCCCAGGACGCCAGCUUUUCACGCUGGUAACACGGGUUCAAAUCCCGUACGCCGCACCA
Molecule: transfer RNA, 78 nt
Filed under: Bacteroidetes bacterium QS_7_67_15
Lineage: Bacteria; Pseudomonadati; Bacteroidota
Description: tRNA-Glu
Rfam family: tRNA
About the family: Transfer RNA (tRNA) molecules are approximately 80 nucleotides in length.
Source: RNAcentral